This 529-nucleotide ribosomal RNA is filed under the name uncultured Peziza. Its description in RNAcentral is "SSU rRNA". It matches the Rfam family "Eukaryotic small subunit ribosomal RNA", at positions 218 to 755 of the family's 1831-position model. Lineage: Eukaryota; Fungi; Ascomycota; Pezizomycetes; Pezizales; Pezizaceae. The record is from RNAcentral.
AAAACCAAUGCCUUCGGGCUCUUUGGUGAAUCAUAGUAACUUCACGAAUCGCAUAGCCUUGUGCUGGCGAUGGUUCAUUCAAAUUUCUGCCCUAUCAACUUUCGAUGGUAGGAUAUAGGCCUACCAUGGUUUCAACGGGUAACGGGGAAUUAGGGUUCUAUUCCGGAGAGGGAGCCUGAGAAACGGCUACCACAUCCAAGGAAGGCAGCAGGCGCGCAAAUUACCCAAUCCCGACACGGGGAGGUAGUGACAAUAAAUACUGAUACAGGGCUCUUUUGGGUCUUGUAAUUGGGAUGAGUACAAUUUAAAUCCCUUAACGAGGAACAAUUGGAGGGCAAGUCUGGUGCCAGCAGCCGCGGUAAUUCCAGCUCCAAUAGCGUAUAUUAAGUUGUUGCAGUUAAAAAGCUCGUAGUUGAACUUCGAACCUGGCUGGGUGGUCUCCUUCACGGUACGUACUGCCCGGCCGGGUUCUACCUCUUGGUGAGCCGCAUGCCCUUUACUGGGUGUGUCGGGGAACCAGGACUUUUAC